AUGUUAGCCUGUCAGCCACUACUAAGUUUAUAGGUGUCAGCGCUGCUAGCCCGACCCAGAUCAACUUUGUACAAAUGCCCCAUGGAGGUCGGGGGGGCUGGGAUCCCUCAUGGGGGCUGGGGUCCCUGCCAGACCCAGCCUUUACCCAGGAUCCCAAGCCCAGGCCUCUGCUUUCAGUACUCUGGGCCCAACAUCCGCCCACUCCCUGCCAGCCCAGAGUUCACGCUGUGGGGUGGGAUUGGAGCCUGGAGGAUCGAGUUUCAUGCCCUACAGCUGCCCAUAUUAUUAGCUCUGGAGCGGGGCAGCCCGGGCUGUAACACAAUUCAAGGAACUGUAGACUUGGCUGAGUUUCCAGCCCAGCAGCUGGGAGGGACGCAGGCAGUGGGGAGCAGGGGCCUCUGACUCCUCCCAACCCCCAGUGCCUGUUUUGAGAGCUAGAGAAGACUGCAAGACGACUGAGUCCCUCCACAUGCCGCUGAUGUCAGUGUGGGCACUGGGGACUCUCAAGGCCCUUGGGCAACCCCAGCCAGUUGCCCAGCUGCUGGCCUCCUCCCAUACCUGUUUGUGCAAUCCGGGCCGCCUCCUCCUACCACUGCCCCUGGACAGAAGGUGAUGGGAAAUGGGUGACCCUACUCCUCAGCCAGGAAAAGGACACCCCAGACCCCCAGCAGGAGAAGGAAAUUUCCCCUCCUCUCCACCUCCCUCGUCAACUCCUGCCUCCUCUUUCUGUGGCUGGUGUCUGCCGGUGCCAGCACACCCCAGAGUAAGCCAGGGAAAACCUGGGCCUGGGCUAGGGCCCCAGACUAUGGCUCCGGGAAAGGACUCGGGCUCCUGGCCGGGUGCACCCACAGCGGGGAUCAAGGCCAGUCUCCUAAGACCCCUGAGCCCCUUCCUUGUCUGCCAGUGGGAGUCACACUGUCCCGCAGGCUCUUGGGGACUAAGAGAAGUAUGUUGAUGUCCUUCACAUGCCUGGAAGUGCCCACAGAGUUAGCUGUUGCAUAGAAGGUUUUGGCCCUGUCCCUUCCCUGAGAAGGGACAACAGACUUGUGGCCCCAGUGCACUCUGCAUGGCAGACCUCCCUGUCAGCAGAAACCAGUGAUGAAGAAUUGGAAGAUUUCAGCACCUAAUGGACUGUACCAGAACAUGCUGGGCCUGGGGUCUAAUUACCGGGCUGCCUGGAGAAGGCAAGGACAACAUGCUUGUCCUGAAGGCAUAAAUCACAGCGUUAGAGUGGCAGGCUUCGAAGACAACUUCUCAGACUGUGUCCGCAGAGCCCUGGGCCCUCAGGGGCGUGGGUGAGGGAGGGGGGCGCCCGGGGAUCCAGCCACCCGUCUCAGUUACCUGCUGUUGUCUGGUCUCUUUAGUGCAGGUGGAAUUGUGACUGAAGAAGGGGUUCCACGGCUAAAGUAAAUAUUUAAAAACCAGACACCUAAUCUAACUCCAUGAUGUUACCAUUGAGGAAAUCAAGGCCCAGGAAAGAGAAGUAACUUGUCAAGGUUGCCCAGCGGUGUCGGAGCUGCUGCCUGGGACACAGACCAGCCCCACCCCAACCCCGGGCUGUGGAAAAAGAGCCAACACCGGGCAAUGAGGACAAAGGAUGGGGCAGGCCAUUCUGAGGUGGUCCUGGGAAGGCAACCCCAGCACGGGAACCAGGCCUGCCCGGGGCCCACCGAGGCUGCCUCUACCUGUCUGGGCUUGAGGACUCAUCUCCCUGGUCAGCAGGGUAGAUUGAAGACCCACUGUGUGCUUGAGCCACACCCUGGAAGACAAGGAAACCAUGCUCAUGAUCGUCCCUGGCCUGGGGUACUCAACAUGGUAAGAGGCCACUCAGGUAAGAGCAGAGCACCCAGGGCAAAAGCAAGAUGCAGGCAGGGGGUGUGCAGCGGAUGAGUGGGAGUCCCAAAGAUCUGGUUUCAAAUCCUGGAACUCCCCCUUUCUGGCCAUGUGACCAGAGACAAGCUAUUUGACCUCUCCUGCCUCUGCUUCUGUCUAUGUAAUGGAUGCCAUGUGAGGCCUUUAUCAUAUGUCAAAUACAAUAAUGCAUAUAAAGUCCCCAGGCAGGCCAGGCGCGGUGGCUCAUGCCUGUAAUCCCAGAACUUUGGGAGGCC
This is a long non-coding RNA of Cebus imitator (Panamanian white-faced capuchin), 2108 nucleotides long. RefSeq lists it as uncharacterized. The transcript is spliced from 3 exons. NCBI's taxonomy places the organism in Eukaryota, Metazoa, Chordata, Mammalia, Primates, Cebidae. The record is from RefSeq and is a predicted model, not a curated record.